CACGUAGGCACCAAGCGUUAUCCGGAUUUAUUGGGCGUAAAGAGCUCGUAGGCGGUUCGGUAAGUCGGGUGUGAAAACUCUGGGCUCAACCCAGAGAGGCCACCCGAUACUGCUGUGACUAGAGUGCGGUAGGGGAGCGGGGAAUUCCUGGUGUAGCGGUGAAAUGCGCAGAUAUCAGGAGGAACACCAGCGGCGAAGGCGACGCUCUGGGCCGUAACUGACGCUGAGGAGCGAAAGCAUGGGUAGCAAACAGG
RNAcentral lists this ribosomal RNA (254 nucleotides) under uncultured bacterium. RNAcentral describes it as "partial 16S ribosomal RNA". It matches the Rfam family "Bacterial small subunit ribosomal RNA", at positions 524 to 776 of the family's 1533-position model. The record is from RNAcentral.